GACGAACGCUGGCGGCGUGCUUAACACAUGCAAGUCGAACGAAGUGGCGAACGGGUGAGUAACGCGUAAUCAACCUGCCCUUCAGAGGGGGACAACAGUUGGAAACGACUGCUAAUACCGCAUACGGAAGGAGGGGAUUGCGUCUGAUUAGCUAGUUGGAGGGGUAACGGCCCACCAAGGCGAUGAUCAGUAGCCGGGCUGAGGGGAUGAACGGCCACAUUGGGACGGAGACACGGCCCGGACUCCUACGGGAAGGAGCAGUAGGGAAUAUUGCGAAAUGGGGGAAAGCCUGACGCAUCAUCGGCGCGUAGAGGAUGACACUUUGCGGAGCAUAAACUCCUUUUUAUAGGGAAGCGGUACCUAACGAAUAAGCACCGGCUAACUCCGUGCCAGCAGCCGCGGUAAUAC
This 408-nucleotide ribosomal RNA is filed under the name uncultured bacterium. RNAcentral's name for it is "partial 16S ribosomal RNA". It matches the Rfam family "Bacterial small subunit ribosomal RNA", at positions 28 to 526 of the family's 1533-position model. The record is from RNAcentral.